GGGGGUAUAGGCUCAACGGCAAACCGCGGGACUCCAAAUCCUGAUUUCCAGGUUCGAAUCCUGGUACCCCCG
RNAcentral lists this transfer RNA (72 nucleotides) under Candidatus Colwelliibacteriota bacterium. RNAcentral describes it as "Candidatus Colwellbacteria bacterium tRNA-Trp". It matches the Rfam family "tRNA". Rfam says of the family: Transfer RNA (tRNA) molecules are approximately 80 nucleotides in length. Their secondary structure includes four short double-helical elements and three loops (D, anti-codon, and T loops). The record is from RNAcentral. Lineage: Bacteria; Candidatus Colwelliibacteriota.